GCCGAAGUGGUGGAAAUGGUAGACACGCCAUCUUGAGGGGGUGGUGCCUCACCAGGCGUGGGGGUUCAAAUCCCCCCUUCGGCA
This 84-nucleotide transfer RNA is filed under the name Candidatus Tectimicrobiota bacterium. RNAcentral's name for it is "tRNA-Leu". It matches the Rfam family "tRNA". From Rfam's summary of the family: Transfer RNA (tRNA) molecules are approximately 80 nucleotides in length. Their secondary structure includes four short double-helical elements and three loops (D, anti-codon, and T loops). Further hydrogen bonds mediate the characteristic L-shaped molecular structure. tRNAs have two regions of fundamental functional importance: the anti-codon, which is responsible for specific mRNA codon recognition, and the 3' end, to which the tRNAs corresponding amino acid is attached (by aminoacyl-tRNA synthetases). tRNAs cope with the degeneracy of the genetic code in two manners: having more than one tRNA (with a specific anti-codon) for a particular amino acid; and 'wobble' base-pairing, i.e. permitting non-standard base-pairing at the 3rd anti-codon position. Lineage: Bacteria; Pseudomonadati; Candidatus Tectimicrobiota. The record is from RNAcentral. RNAcentral also lists the same sequence under 1 other name.